Cryptomeria japonica (Japanese cedar) is the source of this 1347-nucleotide long non-coding RNA. RefSeq lists it as uncharacterized. The transcript has 3 exons. Lineage: Eukaryota; Viridiplantae; Streptophyta; Pinopsida; Cupressales; Cupressaceae. The record is from RefSeq and is a predicted model, not a curated record.
CUGCACAUAGGUAAUCGCAUAAAACUUAUCGACAGUGGUAAACAAUCAAUCACGAAAAGUUGUUUAUACAUUGCAGAUAUAGUAAGCUCUCUCAGAAGCGCGCUCUGCCAUAACCAUGUUACAAGACAAGAUGAUAUAUCUAAACAUUCAGGUAUGGCUUCCACCAUACACUGAAAAACUCUCAGGUUGACUUCGUCAGUGUUUUUAAGAGUGGUGGAUGUUAUGAGUGUUUUUAAUAGCGUCUCACAAGAACGAAUAGCAAGACUAUACACAGAAGAUGCUUUUGCCAAUGCCGAUGUAUGAGAAUGUGAAUAAGGGUUUUGACCUUCGACCAAAUUUCAAAAGUUUUGUCACUGUCAAUGGGUCGAGAUACGAAUCUAGUGGUGCUCACAAGCAUAAAAAAGAAGCAGAGGCUCAGGCUGCCAUAGAGGAUUUGGUGGCCAAACAUUCUUACUGCGAGUGUGAGAACUACUUGUGAAGAUGGAUGAAGGUUCUCCUACAUUUUUUUUACAAAGACAGAAGUUGCUUGUUCUCCAAAACAAUGCAAAUUGGAGGGACCUCCUAUGUUGGUUGUGUUGCAAAGAGUAAGAGGGAAGCUGAAAUAAAGGCUGCCUUUGUAGCAUUUCAAGCCAUCAAAGGACAAGUAGGUGUCAUGAGUUGAAAUGGCCCACCAAAGAGUGCAAGGAUAUUAUGUCUGAAUUGAAGAGAAUAACUAACAGUUUUCCUCCUUGCAAUAACUUCUUAGUGGGAAACAACCUUGAGCAUGCUGAGAAUUACUGCAAAAUGUCAAUUUGGAUAGUGCAGGUACAGUUGAAGAGGGCCCUGGAAAUUUAAAUGCAAAUGAUGAAAAUUGAGCACCUUCGACAGAACCACAUAACUAGCUUGAGCAAGAAACUUUUCUGAUUCUGCCAGAGCAGAAAGAGAUUGAAGCACAGAAGCAAGGUGUGCAGGAGGUUAAUUUAAAAGAUUUUACAAUUAAGAGAAAUAGAAGUGACUGUGGGAAUUGUGGACAGAUAAGUGGCAAGAUGAAAAAAAAAGAAAAAAAAUGAAAAGAACCACAGGACCAUUUCAGCACACAUCAACAAACAACUGAUACUAUCUGAUGUAUGUGGAAGAUUUUCCCAUAUUUCUAGAUAUUCAAGUUUUGACUUGGGACUCUUUCUGUUCCUGUUUAUUGGUUUCCAUAAUUUUCUUAUGGUGAAACAUCACUAUUUGUAUUAAAUAAUAAUUUUUUUCUUCAAUUUUUUUCACGGUACUCUGAUUUGUAUCAAUCAGGGUCCACUGCAAAAAAUAUAUAUGAUAACAAAAAAGCUAACUGUAGUGAUAUGAUAAUGUUUAAGUAUGUUU